GCCGCGUGUGUGAAGAAGGCCUUCGGGUUGUAAAGCACUUUCAGCGAGGAAGAACGCCUUGGGAUUAAUACUCCCGAGGAAAGACAUCACUCGCAGAAGAAGCACCGGCUAACUCCGUGCCAGCAGCCGCGGUAAUACGGAGGGUGCAAGCGUUAAUCGGAAUUACUGGGCGUAAAGCGCGCGUAGGUGGCUAAGUCAGCCAGGUGUGAAAGCCCCGGGCUCAACCUGGGAACGGCAUCUGGAACUGCUUGGCUAGAGUGCAGGAGAGGAAGGUAGAAUUCCCGGUGUAGCGGUGAAAUGCGUAGAGAUCGGGAGGAAUACCAGUGGCGAAGGCGGCCUUCUGGACUGACACUGACACUGAGGUGCGAAAGCGUGGGUAGCAAACAGGAUUAGAUACCCUGGUAGUCCACGCCGUAAACGAUGUCAACUAGCCGUUGGGUCCCUUGAGGACUUAGUGGCGCAGCUAACGCAAUAAGUUGACCGCCUGGGGAGUACGGCCGCAAGGUUAAAACUCAAAUGAAUUGACGGGGGCCCGCACAAGCGGUGGAGCAUGUGGUUUAAUUCGAUGCAACGCGAAGAACCUUACCUACCCUUGACAUCCAGAGGACUUUCCAGAGAUGGAUUGGUGCCUUCGGGAACUCUGAGACAGGUGCUGCAUGGCUGUCGUCAGCUCGUGUUGUGAAAUGUUGGGUUAAGUCCCGUAACGAGCGCAACCCCUAUCCUUAUUUGCCAGCGAGUAAUGUCGGGAACUCUAAGGAGACUGCCGGUGACAAACCGGAGGAA
Molecule: ribosomal RNA, 783 nt
Filed under: Cobetia marina
Lineage: Bacteria; Pseudomonadati; Pseudomonadota; Gammaproteobacteria; Oceanospirillales; Halomonadaceae
Description: bacterial SSU rRNA
Rfam family: Bacterial small subunit ribosomal RNA
Source: RNAcentral